Molecule: ribosomal RNA, 38 nt
Filed under: Laccaria amethystina
Lineage: Eukaryota; Fungi; Basidiomycota; Agaricomycetes; Agaricales; Hydnangiaceae
Description: partial 28S ribosomal RNA
Source: RNAcentral
CAUUGACUUGGACAUUUUUGACAAUUUGAACUCCAACA